UUUUUUUUUUAAUUGGACAGUUGCCCAUAUUAACGGAAAUCAAAAGCAGCAUACAGUCAUUCAAUGUCCCAGCACUGGAGUACAGCCCACUGUUUUCCUGUGUGGGGUUCCACUUUAGUUCUUGUCUGUGUGCAUGCAUACAUUUUUACAGAGUUGUGACCACUGCCUUUUUCUGUGACCCUGGUUAUUGACAUCUAGUUUUCCAAGUAACAUUGACACACAUCUGUUCAAAUCAGUUGAGGUUCCCAUCAUGACUGACUCAUUUGGCGGGAAAACCAAAUUUACAUGCCAAUUGGAACAAAGAAGUGUGGGUAUGGGGGAACAGCGGGGGGAAAGAAAUGGUGGGAGAGGAUUCCUUGGACUUACAGAUCAUAAAACAUUUCCCAAUAACAUUUUUAAAGGAUGUAUAAUAUUACACUGAGUGAUUGAUUAUAUAUUACCCUUCUAUUUGGGACACUUGGGUGGUUUUCAAUGCCUAGAGUUUUAAAAUGCAUAUAAAUUACAGCCUUUGAGAGAUGAUUGUAUUUUCUUGAAACAGGAGUCUUCUGUGUCCAGGUCCCCGCCAACAGUGUUGAUGUAGUGUUCCUUUGUUGGGGGGAAAAAAAAUCAGUACUGCUAACUGGAGAUGCUGGAUGCCUUCAAGAAAAACAUUCCUGUGAUUUAAAUUUUUAAAAAAUUAUGUUCAAUUCUGGUUUAUCAAACAACCUGGGUAUCUUGUCUCACAACUUACCGAAAUGUCGAAUUUUAGAUUUAGAGUUAGACUAAGCUCUUCCUAGUUUAAGGGCCACGUCUGUCUAAUAAACUUUAUACAAUGCCACGUGCACGCAGCUUCCUCACUAACAAAUAACAUGUGUUGGGGAAAAAAUGAGAAAAUAGUGGAAAGGUGCCUCCUUGGAGGUGGUAACAUCGGGUCAAUUAAUCAGCUGAGUAUAAAUUGAUUCACUUUAUACAAGUCUCCCACACAUUAUGAUGCACAUUUAGCAACGCUGAAAAACAAUUUAAAAGAAUACCUUAGGGAGUUGUUAAAGAGAAUUUAUAGUCUGGAACGAAUUGCAAUC
Molecule: long non-coding RNA, 1058 nt
Filed under: Homo sapiens (human)
Lineage: Eukaryota; Metazoa; Chordata; Mammalia; Primates; Hominidae
Description: non-protein coding lnc-HPRT1-6:1
Source: RNAcentral